RNAcentral lists this unclassified non-coding RNA (344 nucleotides) under soil metagenome. RNAcentral describes it as "partial contains 5.8S ribosomal RNA, internal transcribed spacer 2, and large subunit ribosomal RNA". The stretch from base 1 to 120 matches the Rfam family "5.8S ribosomal RNA", at positions 35 to 154 of the family's 154-position model. The record is from RNAcentral.
GAUGAAGAACGUAGCGAAACGCGAUACGUAAUGUGAAUUGCAGAAUUCAGUGAAUCAUCGAAUCUUUGAACGCACAUUGCGCCCGCCAGUAUUCUGGCGGGCAUGCCUGUUCGAGCGUCAUUUCAACCCUCAAGCCCCCGGGCUUGGUGUUGGGGAUCGGCGUGCCCUCGCGGCGCGCCGUCCCCUAAAUCUAGUGGCGGUCUCGCUGUAGCUUCCUCUGCGUAGUAGCAACACUCGCACUGGAUCGCAGCGCGGCCACGCCGUUAAACCCCCCACUUCUGAAAGUUUGACCUCGGAUCAGGUAGGAAUACCCGCUGAACUUAAGCAUAUCAAUAAGCGGAGGA